This 254-nucleotide ribosomal RNA is filed under the name uncultured bacterium. RNAcentral describes it as "partial 16S ribosomal RNA". It matches the Rfam family "Bacterial small subunit ribosomal RNA", at positions 524 to 776 of the family's 1533-position model. The record is from RNAcentral.
UACGAGUACCCCAAGCGUUGUCCGGAUUUACUGGGCGUAAAGGGUCCGUAGGCGGUCAGUCAAGUUUUUUGUUAAAUCUUCAGGGCUUAACCUUGAAGCUGCAAAAAAUACUGAUUGACUUGAGGGGGUUAGGGGCUGAUGGAACGGUCGGUGUAGGGGUGAAAUCCGUUGAUAUCGACCGGAACACCAAAAGCGAAGGCAUUCAGCUGGGACCACCCUGACGCUGAGGGACGAAAGCGUGGGGAGCAAAAAGG